This 24-nucleotide non-coding RNA is filed under the name Arabidopsis thaliana (thale cress). The record is from RNAcentral. Lineage: Eukaryota; Viridiplantae; Streptophyta; Magnoliopsida; Brassicales; Brassicaceae.
GAAAGCUCCACAAGGUCUUACGCC